This 478-nucleotide ribosomal RNA is filed under the name uncultured organism. Its description in RNAcentral is "partial 16S ribosomal RNA". It matches the Rfam family "Bacterial small subunit ribosomal RNA", at positions 331 to 800 of the family's 1533-position model. The record is from RNAcentral.
GUACACUCCUGCGGGAGGCAGCAGUGGGGAAUUUUGGACAAUGGGCGAAAGCCUGAUCCAGCAAUGCCGCGUGAGUGAAGAAGGCCUUCGGGUUGUAAAGCUCUUUUGUCAGGGAAGAAACGGUGAAAGCUAAUAUCUUUUGAUAAUGACGGUAACUGAAGAAUAAGCACCGGCUAACUACGUGCCAGCAGCCGCGGUAAUACGUAGGGUGCAAGCGUUAAUCGGAAUUACUGGGCGUAAAGCGUGCGCAGGCGGUUUUGUAAGUCUGAUGUGAAAUCCCCGGGCUCAACCUGGGAAUUGCAUUGGAGACUGCAAGGCUAGAAUCUGGCAGAGGGGGGUAGAAUUCCACGUGUAGCAGUGAAAUGCGUAGAUAUGUGGAGGAACACCGAUGGCGAAGGCAGCCCCCUGGGUCAAGAUUGACGCUCAUGCACGAAAGCGUGGGGAGCAAACAGGAUUAGAAACCCGGGUAGUCCCAUGA